GCAGCAGUGGGGAUAUUGCACAAUGGGCGCAAGCCUGAUGCAGCCAUGCCGCGUGUGUGAAGAAGGCUUUCGGGUUGUAAAGCACUUUCAGCGAGGAGGAAAGGUUGUACUUUAAUAGAGUGCAGCUGUGACGUUACUCGCAGAAGAAGCACCGGCUAACUCCGUGCCAGCAGCCGCGGUAAUACGGAGGGUGCGAGCGUUAAUCGGAAUUACUGGGCGUAAAGCGCGCGUAGGCGGUUAAUUAAGUCAGAUGUGAAAUCCCAGGGCUCAACCUUGGAACUGCAUUUGAAACUGGUUAACUAGAGUUUUGUAGAGGGUGGUAGAAUUUCAGGUGUAGCGGUGAAAUGCGUAGAGAUCUGAAGGAAUACCAGUGGCGAAGGCGGCCACCUGGACAAAGACUGACGCUGAGGCGCGAAGGCGUGGGGAGCAAACGGGAUUAGAUACCCCGGUAGUCCACGCAGUAAACGAUGUCUAUUAGAAUUUUGUGGCUAUAUGCCGUGGGAUUCAAAGCUAACGCAUUAAAUAGACCGCCUGGGGAGUACGGCCGCAAGGUUAAAACUCAAAUGAAUUGACGGGGCCCCC
Molecule: ribosomal RNA, 582 nt
Filed under: Psychromonas sp.
Lineage: Bacteria; Pseudomonadati; Pseudomonadota; Gammaproteobacteria; Alteromonadales; Psychromonadaceae
Description: bacterial SSU rRNA
Rfam family: Bacterial small subunit ribosomal RNA
Source: RNAcentral